RNAcentral lists this ribosomal RNA (689 nucleotides) under Hoplobatrachus tigerinus (Indus valley bullfrog). RNAcentral's name for it is "partial 12S rRNA". It matches the Rfam family "Bacterial small subunit ribosomal RNA", at positions 318 to 1389 of the family's 1533-position model. The record is from RNAcentral. Lineage: Eukaryota; Metazoa; Chordata; Amphibia; Anura; Dicroglossidae.
ACCUAGUCCCACCACACCCCUAAGGGUAUUCAGCAGUGAUAGAUAUUGUCUAUAAGCGCUAGCUUGACCCAGUUAUAGAGAAGAGAGCCGGCCAACUUGGUGCCAGCCGCCGCGGCUAGACCAACUGGACUCAAAUUGAUAAUCCCCGGCGUUAAGCGUGAUUAAAGCCAUGAACAAAUUAGAGUUAAACCUACGUUGAGCAGUGAAAAGCACACGAUAGGGAAAUCCAAAAACGAAAGUUAUUCUAAUCCUUGCUUGAAUACACGACAGCUAGGACACAAACUGGGAUUAGAUACCCCACUAUGCCUAGCCGUAAACUAUUAACCUACACCCACCCGCGCCAGGGAACUACGAGCUUUAGCUUAAAACCCAAAGGACUUGACGGUGUCCCACCCAACUAGAGGAGCCUGUUCUAUAAUCGAUGACCCCCGCUCCACCCAACCCCCCCUUGCUUUAUCAGCCUGUAUACCUCCGUCGUAAACCCGCCGUAUGAAUGUACCCAAGCGGAUUUAAUGGUCCCACACCAACACGUCAGGUCAAGGUGCAGCCAAUGGGAGAGGUAAGUGAUGGGCUACAAUUUCUAGUCUAGAACAAACGAAAUUCUGCAUGAAACACAGUUAUGAAGGAGGAUUUAGUAGUAAAAAGAAAGUAGCGUGUUCUUUUUAACAUGGCCCUGGGACGUGUACACA